This 401-nucleotide unclassified non-coding RNA is filed under the name soil metagenome. RNAcentral describes it as "partial contains 5.8S ribosomal RNA, internal transcribed spacer 2, and large subunit ribosomal RNA". The stretch from base 1 to 121 matches the Rfam family "5.8S ribosomal RNA", at positions 35 to 154 of the family's 154-position model. The record is from RNAcentral.
GAUGAAGAACGUAGCGAAAUGCGAUAAGUAAUGUGAAUUGCAGAAUUCAGUGAAUCAUCGAAUCUUUGAACGCACCUUGCGCCCUUUGGCUAUUCUGAAGGGCAUGCCUGUUUGAGUAUCAUGAACACCUCAACUCUCAUGGUUUGCCAUGAUGAGCUUGGACUUUGGGGGUCUUGCUGGCCUACGGUCGGCUCCUCUCAAAUGAAUCAGCUUGCCAGUGUUUGGUGACAUCACGGGUGUGAUAACUAUCUACGCUUGUGGUUUCCCGCCAGGUAACCUUCAGUGAUGGAGGUUCGCUGGGGCUCAUAAAUGUCCCUCCACAGUGAGGACAGCUUUUGAACGUUUGAUCUCAAAUCAGGUAGGACUACCCGCUGAACUUAAGCAUAUCAAUAAGCGGAGGA